Molecule: ribosomal RNA, 468 nt
Filed under: uncultured bacterium
Lineage: Bacteria
Description: partial 16S ribosomal RNA
Rfam family: Bacterial small subunit ribosomal RNA
Source: RNAcentral
GACGAACGCUGGCGGCGUGCUUAACACAUGCAAGUCGAACGGAAAGGCCCUGCUUUUGUGGGGUGCUCGAGUGGCGAACGGGUGAGUAACACGUGAGUAACCUGCCCUUGACUUUGGGAUAACUUCAGGAAACUGGGGCUAAUACCGGAUAGGAGCUCCUGCUGCAUGGUGGGGGUUGGAAAGUUUCGGCGGUUGGGGAUGGACUCGCGGCUUAUCAGCUUGUUGGUGGGGUAGUGGCUUACCAAGGCUUUGACGGGUAGCCGGCCUGAGGGGGUGACCGGCCACAUUGGGACUGAGAUACGGCCCAGACUCCUACGGGAGGCAGCAGUGGGGAAUAUUGCACAAUGGGCGGAAGCCUGAUGCAGCAACGCCGCGUGCGGGAUGACGGCCUUCGGGUUGUAAACCGCCUUCGCCUGUGACGAAGCGUGAGUGACGGUAAUGGGUAAAGAAGCACCGGCUAACUACGUG